UACGGGGGGUGCGAGCGUUGUCCGGAAUCACUGGGCGUAAAGGGCGCGUAGGUGGUCUGAUAAGGGUGUGGUGAAAGCCCGGGGCUCAACCCCGGGUCGGCCGUGCCGACUGUUAGACUAGAGUGCUGUAGGGGCAGGCGGAAUUCCGGGUGUAGCGGUGGAAUGCGUAGAGAUCCGGAGGAAGACCGGUGGCGAAGGCGGCCUGCUGGGCAGUUACUGACACUGAGGCGCGAAAGCGUGGGGAGCAAACAGG
Molecule: ribosomal RNA, 253 nt
Filed under: uncultured bacterium
Lineage: Bacteria
Description: partial 16S ribosomal RNA
Rfam family: Bacterial small subunit ribosomal RNA
Source: RNAcentral